Molecule: ribosomal RNA, 468 nt
Filed under: uncultured bacterium
Lineage: Bacteria
Description: partial 16S ribosomal RNA
Rfam family: Bacterial small subunit ribosomal RNA
Source: RNAcentral
GACGAACGCUGGCGGCGUGCUUAACACAUGCAAGUCGAACGGAAAGGCCCUGCUUUUGUGGUGUGCUCGAGUGUCGAACGGGUGAGUAACACGUGAGUAACCUGCCCUUGACUGUGGGAUAACUUCUGGAAACUGGGGCGAAUACCGGAUAUGAGCUCCUGCGGCACGUGGGUGGUUGGAAAGUUUGGGCGGUUGGGGAUGGACUCGCGGCUUAUCAGCUUGUUUGUGGGGUAUGGGCUUACCAAGGCUUUGACGGGUAGCCGGCCUGAGCGGGUGACCGGGCACAUUGGGCCUGAGAUACGGCGCAGACUGGUACGGGACGCAACAGAGGGGAAUCUUGCACAGUGGGCGGAAGUGAGAGGAAGAAACGCCGCGUGCGGGAUACCGGGUUGUGGGUUAAAAACCGGUGUCGGCGGAAACGAUGCGUGAGUGACGGUAAUGAGUAAAGAAGCACCGGCUAACUACGUG